RNAcentral lists this long non-coding RNA (479 nucleotides) under Elaeis guineensis (African oil palm). RNAcentral's name for it is "long non-coding RNA (EGUI_LNC004262)". The record is from RNAcentral. Lineage: Eukaryota; Viridiplantae; Streptophyta; Magnoliopsida; Arecales; Arecaceae.
CCUAAUUAUUGUGGUUUGCCCGAUCCCUGGUUGGCAAAUGUCUGUCCCGACCCUUGAUCAAAGGCUAUGCUGUCUGACCUCUCAUUGGCAUGUUCUUGAUCCGACUUCUGAUCUAAAAGAGCUAGUCGAAGUGCAUACCUUAAACAGUGCAAUCACAUGAUUGAUUAUGACUCGUCCGACUCCUAGUCGGCAUGUGCCUAGUUCGACCCCUAAUCGGCCAAACUUUGAUCCGACCCCUAGUCGGAUGGUUUUUUGUCCGAAUCUUGGAUGGAAAAGAUUUGGUUCGACCUUUGAUCAGAGAAUUUGUUGGUCGAUCUCCAGUCGCAUCCGAUCCCUACUUGGCUUGCAUAUCGGAAUAAUUUUUGGUCAGCAUAACAACUGCGAGUCGACUAGUCUUUCGAUCAAUCCAUCUAACCGAGUUUUGAUCGAAAAACUAUCAGUCCCAACUUCUAGUCGGUUGGUAACUGGCUCCAAACCUU